GAUGAACGCUGGCGGCGUGCCUAAUACAUGCAAGUCGAGCGAACAGACGAGGAGCUUGCUCCUUUGACGUUAGCGGCGGACGGGUGAGUAACACGUGGGUAACCUACCUAUAAGACUGGGAUAACUUCGGGAAACCGGAGCUAAUACCGGAUAAUGUUUCGAACCGCAUGGUUCGAUAGUGAAAGAUGGCUUUGCUAUCACUUAUAGAUGGACCUGCGCCGUAUUAGCUAGUUGGUAAGGUAACGGCUUACCAAGGCAACGAUACGUAGCCGACCUGAGAGGGUGAUCGGCCACACUGGAACUGAGACACGGUCCAGACUCCUACGGGAGGCAGCAGUAGGGAAUCUUCCGCAAUGGGCGAAAGCCUGACGGAGCAACGCCGCGUGAGCGAUGAAGGUCUUCGGAUCGUAAAACUCUGUUAUUAGGGAAGAACAAACGUGUAAGUAACUGUGCACGUCUUGACGGUACCUAAUCAGAAAGCCACGGCUAACUACGUGCCAGCAGCCGCGGUAAUACGUAGGUGGCAAGCGUUAUCCGGAAUUAUUGGGCGUAAAGCGCGCGUAGGCGGUUUUUUAAGUCUGAUGUGAAAGCCCACGGCUCAACCGUGGAGGGUCAUUGGAAACUGGAAAACUUGAGUGCAGAAGAGGAAAGUGGAAUUCCAUGUGUAGCGGUGAAAUGCGCAGAGAUAUGGAGGAACACCAGUGGCGAAGGCGACUUUCUGGUCUGUAACUGACGCUGAUGUGCGAAAGCGUGGGGAUCAAACAGGAUUAGAUACCCUGGUAGUCCACGCCGUAAACGAUGAGUGCUAAGUGUUAGGGGGUUUCCGCCCCUUAGUGCUGCAGCUAACGCAUUAAGCACUCCGCCUGGGGAGUACGACCGCAAGGUUGAAACUCAAAGGAAUUGACGGGGACCCGCACAAGCGGUGGAGCAUGUGGUUUAAUUCGAAGCAACGCGAAGAACCUUACCAAAUCUUGACAUCCUUUGACCCUUCUAGAGAUAGAAGUUUCCCCUUCGGGGGACAAAGUGACAGGUGGUGCAUGGUUGUCGUCAGCUCGUGUCGUGAGAUGUUGGGUUAAGUCCCGCAACGAGCGCAACCCUUAAGCUUAGUUGCCAUCAUUAAGUUGGGCACUCUAAGUUGACUGCCGGUGACAAACCGGAGGAAGGUGGGGAUGACGUCAAAUCAUCAUGCCCCUUAUGAUUUGGGCUACACACGUGCUACAAUGGACAAUACAAAGGGCAGCGAAACCGCGAGGUCAAGCAAAUCCCAUAAAGUUGUUCUCAGUUCGGAUUGUAGUCUGCAACUCGACUACAUGAAGCUGGAAUCGCUAGUAAUCGUAGAUCAGCAUGCUACGGUGAAUACGUUCCCGGGUCU
This 1372-nucleotide ribosomal RNA is filed under the name uncultured bacterium. RNAcentral describes it as "bacterial SSU rRNA". It matches the Rfam family "Bacterial small subunit ribosomal RNA", at positions 28 to 1381 of the family's 1533-position model. The record is from RNAcentral.